Molecule: long non-coding RNA, 1827 nt
Organism: Carassius gibelio (silver crucian carp)
Lineage: Eukaryota; Metazoa; Chordata; Actinopteri; Cypriniformes; Cyprinidae
Exons: 3
Source: RefSeq, a predicted model, not a curated record
UUCAAAGUGUAUUCAGCCAAGAUACUCAUGCCACACAGGUUGAGGAAUAUAUUUCUCUUCGCACUAUUCUUUUUUGAUGUCCAUCCAUCAAUUAUGAACAUUCAGCCACAAACAUGAGGUGAGAGUGGUCGCGAACACGGAUGGGAGAAUGACACAGCAACUGGGAAGGUGCCCUUCGCAGACUGCGUACUCUGCGUAUAGGGAGCGGCGGUACUGGUCUCAGUACAAGAAGAACUAUUCUGGUACAUCUAGAGAGCAAGUGAGUUUCUUAAAUACUGUACAUCCCGAGGAGAAGAAAAUAUGAAGGAGAAAAUUACCCCCAGUUCGAGGAGAGAUUUCAUUCUAAAGUCUCAUCGAAUGCAGUUCUACUGACAAUCAAGAAUCUGUUUGUGUCUGACUCUGCUGUGUACUUCUGUGCUCUGAGGCCCACAGUGAGAAAACUCAAGUCAAACCACAUACAAAAACACAAGCUAAAUCUUACUCAAAAUUGUUUACCUUGUGCUUCUCCUGUUAUAUGAAUAUGAAUUUGGCUUUUGAAUACUUAUGUAGGAUUGAAACUAAUCAAAUACUUCUGCUUUCCUGUCCCAAACUUACCUUUAGUAACACAAGGUCCAUUUGGAAAUUCGGAAGGUACAGAGGUACUGAUAGUAGCCUGUAGGCCAGUAUGUGUAUACACAAGGGAUCUGCUAAUUGUCACACAUUUUGCUUGGUGGGGAAAGCUGUAUUUUGCUGAAUGGUCCGUUUGAAUGUCUCAGAUUAGAUUUUUUAGUAAACUUUCCACUGGGUGCCCUUUUCUUGGGGCUCUGCUCUUUCUCCUUCUAUCUCCCCCAUCUCUCUUUCUGUCUCUUUCUCAGGUAACAUGCUGGGUACAUUUAACUGUGUAUGUUUUACCAUCCUUCAUCUAAUUUGAAAGUGUAAUCAUAACAAAAUACUUUUAUUUAUCCUAUUUUAAUUAUAAAGUAUGUGCUAACUACUUUAUAUACAAUAUACAAUAUAGUAAAUAUACAAUAUAGUAAAUCAAAAGCAAUGUUUCCCACAUAUUUUCUUAUUAUACCGUUAAUUUUAAUCAUCUGUGUAUUUACACUAUCAUGCUGAUAACAUUUUGUUAGUCUUUCGGCAAUCCUACAGCCUAAACCACUGUGGAAACCACCCUUACACUUAAUUUAUACACAAGAUUCUAUUAUAAAAAUUUAAUUUAUAUAUAUAAUAUGUGUGUUGUGUGUGUGUGUGUGUGUAUAUAGUGUAAGUAUAACUUAAUGUAUAGUGAUACAGAUGAUAAAAGGAUAACCAACAGGACAAAUGGAUGUCAUCAGUAAGUCAUUGUUUCAACGCCAGAACGGUUUUAGACAAGGAUGUCUCCUAAGCAACUGAGGUGUUCUGUUGGAUGUAGUAAUGAACACAGCAGUCUUCAUUUAGAAAUUAAAUGAAAAUAAAAAUAAAUUCUGAGUCAACAUAAAUUAAAAUGGGAAAAAUUACACAAGAAAUUGAAUAUAUAAUCACCUAAAUGACAGAGUGGUUGUUAUUAAUGGAUAAAUGUGAUACUGUAUGUACAGUAAUAUAAAUAUUGUCGAUAGUUUUUGUAAAAUUCAGUGAAAUGAGCCAUUGUGCUUAUCAUAAGGAAGCCAAAAAUCAUAUCUUUGAGGGACAUGAAAAAGUCUUGCAUGGUAGGAAAAGUCUCAGAAUUACGGAUCCCCGCACAUGACAUGCAAGAAAAAGUAAAUAAAUUGUGCAAACGAUUUACUAUUUUUUUCCCUCAAUGUACUAAAAUGUGCAAACGAUUACUAUUGCAUUCCCUAGAUUUACUAUUGCGUUCGCUCGAUUUGCUAA